Non-coding RNA from Trichomalopsis sarcophagae, 72 nucleotides. Lineage: Eukaryota; Metazoa; Arthropoda; Insecta; Hymenoptera; Pteromalidae. The record is from Rfam.
GCGGCGGUGGAUCGAGAGUAAGAUCUCGGCCUGAUAUACUGAACGUUCCGAGUUCAAAUCUCGGCCGCCGAU